UUUUGAUCUGUUUGACACAAAACAUAAUGGGAUACUUGAUUUCGAAGAAUUUGCACGUGCUCUUUCUGUCUUUCACCCGAAUGCCCCCAUUGAUGAUAAAAUUGAGUUUUCAUUCCAAUUAUACGAUCUUAAACAGCAAGGAUUCAUUGAGAGACAGGAGGUAAAGCAGAUGGUCGUGGCUACACUUGCUGAAUCUGGCAUGAAUCUGUCAGAUGAUGUCAUAGAAAGUAUCAUUGACAAGACAUUCGAAGAAGCUGACACAAAACACGAUGGGAAGAUUGACAAGGAAGAGUGGCGAAACCUUGUUAUGAGGCAUCCAUCACUUUUGAAGAAUAUGACUCUCCAAUAUCUCAAGGAUAUCACGACCACGUUCCCGAGUUUUGUGUUUCACUCGCAAGUAGAUGAUACGUGAGACGUCUCUCAUUGGGGAGUUUUGUUGGUACAUGUCAAUGACUG
Molecule: unclassified non-coding RNA, 456 nt
Filed under: Hevea brasiliensis (rubber tree)
Lineage: Eukaryota; Viridiplantae; Streptophyta; Magnoliopsida; Malpighiales; Euphorbiaceae
Source: RNAcentral